RNAcentral lists this ribosomal RNA (253 nucleotides) under uncultured bacterium. Its description in RNAcentral is "partial 16S ribosomal RNA". It matches the Rfam family "Bacterial small subunit ribosomal RNA", at positions 524 to 776 of the family's 1533-position model. The record is from RNAcentral.
UACGUAGGGUGCAAGCGUUAAUCGGAAUUACUGGGCGUAAAGGGCGCGUAGGCGGAUAGUUUAGUCAGAGGUAAAAGCCCAGGGCUCAACCUUGGAACUGCCUUUGAUACUGGCUAUCUUGAGUUCGGGAGAGGUGAGUGGAAUGCCGAGUGUAGAGGUGAAAUUCGUAGAUAUUCGGCGGAACACCAGUGGCGAAGGCGACUCACUGGCCCGAUACUGACGCUGAGGCGCGAAAGCGUGGGGAGCAAACAGG